UGGGGAAUCUUGCACAAUGGGGGAAACCCUGAUGCAGCGACGCCGCGUGAGCGAUGAAGGUUUUCGAAUCGUAAAGCCCUGUCCUACGGGAAGAUAAUGCCGGUACCAUGGGAGGAAGCCCCGGCUAACUACGUGCCAGCAGCCGCGGUAAUACGUAGGGGGCGAGCGUUGUCCGGAAUUACUGGGCGUAAAGGGUUCGCAGGCGGCGUGGCAAGUCCGAUGUAAAAGGCGAAGGCUCAACCUUCGUAAGCAUCGGAAACUGUCAAGCUUGAGUGAAGGAGAGGGAAGUGGAAUUCCUGGUGUAGCGGUGGAAUGCGUAGAUAUUAGGAGGAAUACCGGUGGCGAAGGCGACUUGCUGGACUUCAACUGAAGCUGAGGAACGAAAGCGUGGGUAGCAAACAGG
Molecule: ribosomal RNA, 403 nt
Filed under: Fusobacteriota bacterium
Lineage: Bacteria; Fusobacteriati; Fusobacteriota
Description: Fusobacteria bacterium partial 16S ribosomal RNA
Rfam family: Bacterial small subunit ribosomal RNA
Source: RNAcentral